This 445-nucleotide ribosomal RNA is filed under the name uncultured bacterium. Its description in RNAcentral is "partial 16S ribosomal RNA". It matches the Rfam family "Bacterial small subunit ribosomal RNA", at positions 354 to 796 of the family's 1533-position model. The record is from RNAcentral.
GUGAGGAAUAUUGGUCAAUGGACGUAAGUCUGAACCAGCCAAGUAGCGUGCAGGACGAAGGCCCUAUGGGUUGUAAACUGCUUUUAUGCGGGGGUAAAGUGAGUGACGUGUCAUUCAUUGCAAGUACCGCAAGAAUAAGGACCGGCUAAUUCCGUGCCAGCAGCCGCGGUAAUACGGAAGGUCCUGGUGUUAUCCGGAUUUAUUGGGUUUAAAGGGAGCGUAGGCCGUCAGGCAAGCGUGUUGUGAAAUGUCGUGGCUCAACCAUGGACUUGCAGCGCGAACUGCCCGACUUGAGUGCGCAGAAAGCAGGCGGAAUUUGUGGUGUAGCGGUGAAAUGCUUAGAUAUCACGAAGAACCCCGAUUGCGAAGGCAGCCUGCUGUAGCGCUACUGACGCUGAAGCUCGAAAGUGCGGGUAUCGAACAGGAUUAGAAACCCGUGUAGUCC